UACGUAGGGUGCAAGCGUUGUCCGGAAUUAUUGGGCGUAAAGAGCUCGUAGGCGGUUUGUCGCGUCUGCUGUGAAAACUCGGGGCUUAACCCCGGGCCUGCAGUGGGUACGGGCAGACUAGAGUGCGGUAGGGGAGACUGGAAUUCCUGGUGUAGCGGUGAAAUGCGCAGAUAUCGGGAGGAACACCAGUGGCGAAGGCGGUUGCCUGGAGCUUUGCUGACGCUGAUGCGCGAAAGCGUGGGGAGCGAUCCGG
RNAcentral lists this ribosomal RNA (253 nucleotides) under uncultured bacterium. RNAcentral describes it as "partial 16S ribosomal RNA". It matches the Rfam family "Bacterial small subunit ribosomal RNA", at positions 524 to 776 of the family's 1533-position model. The record is from RNAcentral.